Molecule: ribosomal RNA, 253 nt
Filed under: uncultured bacterium
Lineage: Bacteria
Description: partial 16S ribosomal RNA
Rfam family: Bacterial small subunit ribosomal RNA
Source: RNAcentral
GACGUAGGGCGCGAGCGUUGUCCGGAUUUAUUGGGCGUAAAGAGCUCGUAGGCGGCUUGUCGCGUCGACUGUGAAAACCCGCGGCUCAACUGCGGGCCUGCAGCCGAUACGGGCAGGCUAGAGUUCGGUAGGGGAGACUGGAAUUCCUGGUGUAGCGGUGAAAUGCGCAGAUAUCAGGAGGAACACCGAUGGCGAAGGCAGGUCUCUGGGCAUUAACUGACGCUGAGGAGCGAAAGCAUGGGGAGCGAACAGG